This 79-nucleotide small RNA is filed under the name Escherichia coli. Its description in RNAcentral is "partial RtT sRNA". It matches the Rfam family "RtT RNA", at positions 54 to 130 of the family's 130-position model. From Rfam's summary of the family: This family represents a bacterial cis-regulatory element known as RtT RNA. The exact function of RtT is unknown although it is thought that it may be involved in changing the cellular response in relation to amino acid starvation. The record is from RNAcentral. Lineage: Bacteria; Pseudomonadati; Pseudomonadota; Gammaproteobacteria; Enterobacterales; Enterobacteriaceae.
GCCAGCGAGAGAGCGUUGCCGCAGGCAACGACCCGAAGGGCGAAGCGCGCAGCGUUGAGUAAUCCUUCCCCCACCACCA